AUUGACCGCUGGCGGCAGGCCUAACACAUGCAAGUCGAACGAGUGGCGGACGGGUGAGUACUGUCUGGGAAACUGCCUGAUGGCGGGGGAUAACUCCUGGAAACGGUAGCUAAUACCGCAUAACAUAGGCUGUGACACGCGGGGAUUAGCUAGUAGGUGGGGUAAAGGCUCACCUAAGCGAAGAUCCCUAGCUGGUAUGAGUGGUGGACCAGCCAAACUGGAACUUAUGCACGGUCCAGACUCCGACGGGAGGCAGCAGUGGGUAAUAUGGCACAAUGGGCGCAAGCCUGAUGCAGCCAUGCCGCGUGUAUGAAGAAGUCCUUCGGGUUGUAAAGUACUUUCAGCGGGGAGGCGUUACCCGCAGAAGAAGCACCGGCUAACUCCGUGCCAGCAGCCGCGGUAAUUC
This 406-nucleotide ribosomal RNA is filed under the name uncultured bacterium. RNAcentral describes it as "partial 16S ribosomal RNA". It matches the Rfam family "Bacterial small subunit ribosomal RNA", at positions 30 to 526 of the family's 1533-position model. The record is from RNAcentral.